Molecule: small RNA, 2000 nt
Filed under: Pan troglodytes (chimpanzee)
Lineage: Eukaryota; Metazoa; Chordata; Mammalia; Primates; Hominidae
Description: transcribed unitary pseudogene
Source: RNAcentral
AUGGUUGACCCCAGCCCUGCCCACAGGAACAAAGCUUCACCUUUGACAGUCCUGGGCCCUGAUGUUGCUCAGGAGGCAGAGCAGGAGCUGCUGGCACGUGUCCAAUCCACACUGGGCUCUCUGGGCCGAGGGUACAGUGUGGCCCUGUUGCUCUGGGGGAGGGAAACAGAGGCACCCCGACUUGUGCCUCAGCUGCUGCAGAUGCUGUCUGAGGAAGCUCUGCCCCUCAGCUGCUCUGAUCCUGUGCUUAGCACUCUUAGCCUGGUGCAGUUCAGCCCCAGUGGAAGGACCCAGGACCUGCUCUCUCCAGGGGUGGAGAACCUGUCGGUGCUGGACGUGUCCCCUCUGGGCUUGGUGGUAGAAGAUGCCACUGAAGUGGAGGUGUCUGACUCAAAAGCUGCCUCAGAGCUGUACUUGCGGGCCACUGCAGGUGAAGGCAGGUGAAGGCAGGAGAGUAUCUGUCACCCCAUCCCCGCUAGGCAUUUGGCCUGAGUCUACCCUUUCCUCCACAGGGCCUGCUGUCUGCUCACUCUCACCAUGUCCUGCCCAGGGCCUGACCCUCCUGAGGGGCCCGGGACCCAGCGUGUGUGGCAAGGGGCUCUACGGAUCCUACAGCUCCCAGGAGCCCCAGACUGCCCCCUGCUGCGGGUGUUGGCUGGUGAAGUUGUUGGUGAGGAGGCGGAGGGCUCUUUGCCCUGGAUUGUCUCAUGGCUCUUGGAAGGAAACAACUACAGUGGCCUACUUCUUCGCCUGGACCCCCAAGGUAGCUCCCUCAGUUUGCUCCAGGCUGCUCUGUUGGGGGCCUCAGGAAGGAGGAUGCAGGUGAAACAGGUGAGGCCCACCCUGUGGGAUGCAGUAGAAGAGGCUCGGGCCCGCCGGGCUGGCCUGAGGCCCCUGCAUUUAGGCCUCCUUGAGGACACCCUGACGGACAGUGGGCUAAGCCAGCUGGGAAGGGCACUGCGGGAGCUAGAGGUGAGCAAGGUGAAGCCUGAGGGCACCUGGGCUAGCCAUGGCCAGUACCCACCUUGAACCCUUUCUCCAUAGGUGGUAAAAGCGUGGAGCCAGCACCCAAGAAGCCAGAUGCUCCAAGGAGCAGUCAUAGGUGAGCCACAGAAGUAUUUUAAGCAGGAAAGAGCACUGUGCCCUUUUCAGCAGGUGAUAGAGUCACCAGUAAACCAGAGCCCAUGCCUUGAGGGAGAGCCCCAAGGUGGGUCUGGGACUUGGGGAUGAGCUGGGAGUGGGAGGUCUUCCCUGCCUUUGGUGUGAUUAAUUACAUUUUCCUCUAGUGGCAGGAAGAAUGGCAACUCUAAGGUGUGGCUCCACCAAAAGAAUCCUCUCGGGCACCCUAAGGAACAGCAGAUACCAGAUGUGGCCCGGCUGCUCUUCUUGGCCCAGGCCCAGAGGCAGAGACUGAGGGAGCAGCAGCAAAUUUGGAUUCGAGAGAAGCUGAAGCAUUUGGAACAGAAGGAGGAGGUGGCAGAUGACCAGGUCAAAGGCCUGGUGGCUGAAGAGGAGGCCUGCAAGGAGAGGCAGAGAUGGCAGCAGGAACAGAUGGUGCUGAGAUUCCAGCUGGAGGCCCUUCAGGAAGAGCGGAACACAGCAGAGCAGGACCUGGUAGCCCUCUAUGACCUGCAUGUGCAGGCCACCCGAGCUCAGACACACCAUGUGCUGCGCGUCAGUGGGGAUGAAGGGUAGGCCUUGAGCUGGCUCCAAGGCUGGCUGAGUGACAGGCAUCUCUGAAUCUGGGCACAGGUAUUCUGAGCCUGGCAGGGCCAAUGGGAGGAGCGGGCCAUGACCACAGAGCAUCAUCACUGCAGCCUGCUGGCGGGCAUCCUGGAAGAAACCAUCAACCUGGCCACACAGAAUCAGGAGCUCCAAGCUGAGAACCAGCAGCUUCAGCAGGGUGCAGACUAGGCUGGGGGUAGUCAUGCUGGACCUGUCCUGGGGAGAAACCUUAACAGGAACCCUUUAGAGGAAGUUUCUUGUCUCCUCAUUCUGGA